UCUUGACAUCCAGAGAACUUAGCAGAGAUGGUUUGGUGCCUUCGGGAACUCUGAGACAGGUGCUGCAUGGCUGUCGUCAGCUCGUGUUGUGAAAUGUUGGGUUAAGUCCCGCAACGAGCGCAACCCUUAUCCUUUGUUGCCAGCGAUUCGGUCGGGAACUCAAAGGAGACUGCCGGUGAUAAACCGGAGGAAGGUGGGGAUGACGUCAAGUCAUCAUGGCCCUUACGAGUAGGGCUACACACGUGCUACAAUGGCGCAUACAAAGAGAAGCGACCUCGCGAGAGCAAGCGGACCUCAUAAAGUGCGUCGUAGUCCGGAUCGGA
This 323-nucleotide ribosomal RNA is filed under the name uncultured bacterium. RNAcentral describes it as "bacterial SSU rRNA". It matches the Rfam family "Bacterial small subunit ribosomal RNA", at positions 979 to 1302 of the family's 1533-position model. The record is from RNAcentral.